Molecule: non-coding RNA, 860 nt
Organism: Callorhinus ursinus (northern fur seal)
Lineage: Eukaryota; Metazoa; Chordata; Mammalia; Carnivora; Otariidae
Source: RefSeq, a predicted model, not a curated record
GGCCACCACCCGCUUCAAAAUGGCUUCCCUCAGGGAGAGGCGUGGGCUAACGACAAAGUAUAGACUCUAAAUCCUUCCUUGGAUGGAUCAUACCACAGAGUUCAGGAGAUGGAAGGCGCAGUGUCUGAGCAAAGCUGACCUCAGCCGGAAGGGCAGUGUGGACGAGGACGUGGUAGAACUUGUACAGCUCCUGAAUGGGCGAGAACCGUACUUCACCACCAGUUCCUGCGCUGGGCGCAUCAUCCUCCUAGAUGGGGAUAUAAAUGGUUUUGAGGUUCAAAAGCAAAACCGUUGCUGGCUACUGGUUACACAUAAACCUUGUGUAAAGGAUGAUGUGAUGGCAGCUCUGAAGAAAGCAAAUGGUGAUGCCAUUUUGAAAUUUGAACCACUCGUUCUUCAUGUGCAGUGUCGACAGUUGCAGGAUGCACAGAUUCUGCAUUCAGUGGCAAUAGAUUCUGGUUUCAGGGACUCCGGCAUCACCGUGGGAAAGAGAGGAAAGACUAUGUUGGCUAUCCGGAGCACACAUGGCUUAGAAGUUCCAUUAAGCCAUAAGGGAAAACUGAUGGUGACUGAGGAAUAUAUUGACUUCCUGUUAAAGAUAGCAAAUCAAAAAAUGGAGGAAAACAAGAAGAGAAUUGAAAGGCUUUAUAACUGCCUACAGCAUGCUUUGGAAAAAGAAAACAUUACUAACGCACGUCCCAAAGAGAAAAUCAAAGACAAAAAAUAAAUCAUCGUAUACUCGUAAGAAGGAAAGAAACCCAGAAGAAGCACACAGCAAAUGUUUUACUGAAGAAAAUGUUAAAGAAUGUGAAAAUGAUGAUGCCCUAGGAAUCAGUGUUACUAUCUUCCCUGAAGAUUAA